UUAUAUGUCUUUUUCUUAUUUUUUACAUUUUUCAUUUACGAAUUUAAAUUUUUGAUAUUUUUCAGGAAACCACGAAAAAAAUGUGAAAUUUUGAUAUACUAUCCAUAUCGAUAUUCUAAGAUGAAUGGUGCGAUUCGAGAAUUUUUUGACGUACUUUUAUGUGUUUUUCUUCAUUUUUAUAUUUCUCGGACGUUUACGAAUUAAAAUUCUUGAAAUACUUCGA
RNAcentral lists this long non-coding RNA (223 nucleotides) under Solanum tuberosum (potato). RNAcentral's name for it is "long non-coding RNA (STUB_LNC007180)". The record is from RNAcentral. Lineage: Eukaryota; Viridiplantae; Streptophyta; Magnoliopsida; Solanales; Solanaceae.